Panicum virgatum (switchgrass) is the source of this 2248-nucleotide RNA transcript. It is a transcript of the gene named protein LAZ1-like, with no coding region annotated. The record is from RefSeq and is a predicted model, not a curated record. The transcript is spliced from 9 exons. Lineage: Eukaryota; Viridiplantae; Streptophyta; Magnoliopsida; Poales; Poaceae.
CAAUUUGGCGAGACUUCGAAAACCGGCGGUCCACUGGACAGGGGAAGAGGAGACACGGGCGGCGACGCCGUCACGAUCCGCACCCGCGAUCUGCCCCCCUCCUCUCCCUCCGCCUCCCGCCCGUCCGCCUCGCGGGAAAUCACGCGCCGCGACGCCCGAAUCGCCUCGAUCCGGCCGCGGAAUCGGCCCGCGGCAGCCUCCCCUACCCACUCGCGCGAGUCGUCGGCUCAGAUAAUAGACUCGAUAUGUGGAUCCUGAAAGUUUGAUCUCGUUGGUUUGGAUUGAAGUGUCAGCUUUCGGUCAGCAUUGUUGCCUUCGCUUCUGUUUGAUGCCUGCUAGUCGAAGGAAGGUGAUGCUGGAUGACGCUGAAGGACUUUGAAAGCAUAGGGGUCCGAGGAAGUUUUGUUUGCCACCAUGAGGGUCAAUUUUGGGUACCUUGUGGCCGUGAUGGCUCAAUACUCUGCGCCCACAUGGGCUACUUUAGUUGCUGGGCUCUUCAUGCUGCUUGCACUUUCGCUCUCCACGUACCUGAUAUUUGAGCAUCUCUCGGCCUACAACAAUCCAGAGGAACAGAAAUUUGUACUGGGUGUUAUCCUCAUGGUCCCUUGCUAUGCAAUUGAGUCGUAUAUUUCUUUGAUAAAUCCAAAUACGAGUGUUUACUGUGGCAUCCUGCGCGAUGGUUAUGAAGCAUUUGCAAUGUACUGCUUUGGAAGAUAUAUUACUGCAUGUUUAGGUGGCGAAGAUAAAACAAUAGCUUUUUUGAAAAGGGAGGGUGGCUCAGGUUCUGGGCAACCUCUACUACAUCAUGCCUCUGAGAAGGGAAUCAUACACCAUCAUUUUCCUGUAAAUUUUAUAUUGAAACCAUGGACAUUGGGGACGCGGUUCUACCUGAUUAUCAAAUUUGGAAUCUUCCAAUAUAUGAUCAUAAAGACCCUCACAGCUACCUUAUCUCUUCUUCUAGAACCUUUUGGUGUGUAUUGUGAUGGAGAAUUCAAUUUACGAUGUGGGUACCCUUACUUCGCUGCAGUUCUCAACUUUAGUCAAUAUUGGGCCCUGUACUGUCUGGUGGCAUGGUACACAGCUACGAAGGACGAAUUGGCACCUAUAAAGCCUCUCGCUAAGUUUCUUUCUUUCAAAUCUAUAGUAUUCUUGACUUGGUGGCAAGGUGUGGUGAUCGCAAUAUUGUAUGCUUUGGGCCUUCUUAGAGGUCCUUUAGCCCAGAGCUUGGAGUUAAAAUCAAGCAUUCAAAACUUCAUUAUUUGCAUAGAGGUAUCUGAUAGCGUGAUGUCUUCCUUCUGGACAGAUGGGCAUAGCUUCAGCUGUUCACCUCUAUGUGUUCCCAGCCGAGCCCUAUGCACUCUUAGCUAAUCAGUCACCUGGAAACAUUUCUGUACUUGGGGAUUGUGCAUCCUCUGAUCCUGUGGACCCUUUUGAAAUUACAGAAAGCAACCGGCCUACCAAAAUGAAGUUUCCACAGUUGGAACCAGAUGAGAGAAACGUGACAAACAUAAAAGAAAGUGUUCGGGACUUUGUUGUUGGCAGUGGAGAAUAUGUGAUCAAGGAUUUCAAGUUCACUGUUGACCAAGCAGUAAAGCCAGUGGAGAAGCGCUUUGAUAAAUUGAUGAAAAAGAAGGACAAGCGUAAGAAAACCCAGGAUGACAACUUGGUGAGUGCAGCAACACCAAAGAGACCAAUUCGUGGGAUUGAUGAUCCUCUAUUAAGUGGGAGUGCAAGUGACAGUGGCGUCAUGAAGGGAAAAAAACAUCACAAAGUUGUGGGCUCAGCUGGUGCUAUGGACAGCUGGGGAGGUGGUGAUCAGUCAUCUGAUGGUUAUGAGAUCAGAGGUCACCGCUGGGCUGUAAAGAACUAACGAUUCUACUUUGCAGGAUUGGUAAAUCCAAACCAUAUCACGUGGAAAAAAAAGACAUUGAUAUGUUUGCCGGUAAACUUGCAGGCAAGUCUUUCUGCUACAGUAUUGUGUAGAUAACUGAUAGAUAGCCUCUGUGCAUAAGUUCUAACUUUUCUUUUAAAAUUUUUUCCAAGUCACAUUGAUAUGUGGUAUUGCAAAAAUUGAGAAGGAACAUUUUCUUUCUUUAGAGAUGGAAGCGCCUCAUUGGCUGAUUGCCUCCAUUGUAACUUAUUACAGUCCAUACAAUGAUACACUGCAUAAGAAAAGUGCCGAAAUUGUAUACUAGAACGCGGCUGGUGGUUGGUGCUGGUUUGUUGUGAAAGAAAAAUACUGCUGACU